GCCCACCUCAGUCGUGAAAUGAAGUAUCACGUGCUCCGGCAGGAAGCCGCAUUAUGACCUUGGGGAACAGACAGUUUCCUCCGGUUAGUGUUGUGGGUGAAGGUUCCACCUCCUUCCCCAGAAGAACCUGGUAAACAACCUUAGCCCCUCCUCCCACCCCCAGACCUCCUGCAACCAGGACUGUUGCUAGAGCAACUGAUUCUUUCCAUUUCCUGAUAAGCAGGGGACUGGUAUCUGGGCCCCCUGUGGGAUAAGUACCAAUUUGAGUUUGGUUUCUUUUGCGUGCUGUUACAGAGAAAAAAAGAGAAAGAAAGCAAAAGGAAAACAAAACAGGUUUUGACUGCACAGCCCCAUUCACCACGGAAGCUGAUACUCGUGGUUUCUCAGGUAUUCACAUCUUGAUUGCUGCUCAGACCUCACACCCUUCGUGUGGUCCAUGAACGUGCUGAGUACUGCUCCAUUCUGCUUCCUCUCAGCUGCAGGGACACAAGAGAGCUCUGUUAAACAUACCUCUGAUGAAGCCUGCUGUUUAUGUUGGGUGUGAAAGCUCCUCUGAGCACUGAGAUGCUACCUUCUUGGAGCCAGGUUCAGGUCCUGCCAUCAUAUCCAAACUGAGUGAUGUCCAGAGGUGGAAAAACACCAUCCCUUCUAGAGAAAUCUAUGCCAGAAGUCUUCAGCAGAUUUCCCCUUGACCAGGGUAGACACUUCCUUACCUCUCACUGGGCCAGAGCUAAGUCACAUGCCCACUUUAAGUCAUUCGUGAGAAUGGAGACUAGGACUGCUAUGAUCAGAUUCCACUGAUCUGAUAAAACUCUGAAUAAAGAUUUCCAGCAAAGACAAAAGUCACAAUGGUGUGGACGGGGUAUAGCUCGGUGGUAGAGUGCAUGCUUAUCACGCAUGAGGUCCUGGGUUCAAUCCCCAGUAACUCCAUUAAAAAAAAAAAAAAACUUUCUAAAAAAUAAAUAAAAUAAAAUUAUGACAUAUGAGAUAACCACAGGGGAACAAAUAAAGGUCACAAUGGGUGUUAAGCAGCCUAAGUGUUUGCCUUGAGUAGAACUUGGAAGACCAAAAAUGUUUCAAGUAAUUUUCUGUCUUCUUAGAGAUGGAAGCUUAGGGCAGACUACUCAUCUAGUCAUUCACCAUUAAUUCCAUUGAGAAAUAUUUAGCAAUAUCCUAGUGUGUGCCUGGCACUGUGCUAGGCACUGGGGACACAAAGGUGAGCAAAAGAGACAUGAUCCAUGCAUCCUGGGGGUGACUCUAGGAAGGGAGAGAGUUGUUACACAACUAAUCUCAGAAAUAUAUGUGUAACUAUAAAUCGUUAAGUGCUUUUAAGAAAACAAAGGAAACAGUGUGAUCUGAGGUUGUAAAAGGAGGAUCUGAUUUAAAUGGGGUGGAGAAAGUCAAGGUUUGGUCAAGGUUAUCCAAAUAUAGAGCAGAGGCCCUUGUCUAGGAGAGAGAAUGUAAAAGGUGGUCUUUGUUUCCAAUUUUCAGAUGUCCUCUCCUAAUACUGGGAAUCAUUGAUGAUUCCUGGAAGAUGUAUAGGCUAUCGUUCAAGUCAUUUCUCACAGGAGAUCAGAAGCCAAGACUCCAAGGUGGCUUGAAGGACAGAUAGCUGAGCUUCUGUGAACCUCAAGCUGUGAAGAGGAAUUGUACGGGACUAUGGACCGCGUUAUUCUGUACUGAAGGACCCAUUCUUUGGAGGUGUUUUGUUUUUGUUGUUGUGGUUCUAGUGCUUUGUGCCAAAGGAUAGGAUCACAUCCGGUGUCUGGGGCAGCAGUCCCCCUGAAUGUAAUAAACCUCACCACUGUCAAUCAUCCUGGAAUAUGUGAGUACUGAGGCAGGGCUGGACUCAAGGGCAUUUCCACCGCAGCCAGGUCCCUGCAACAUGGGGGCAGAACCUGGGAGCAGGCAGAGAAGUGCCAGGAAAGGACCCAUCUGCAGACCCCAAGAGCAGUGAUACUCUGUUUUCAAGUUCUCUGUUUUGCAGUAUACUUCUCUUAUCACAAGACCUUCAGCAAGUCCUAAGAAACCUUAUUUCCUGAUCUCAGGUACCACUGUAUGGAACUGGAGAUAGAACCAAUGUCCAAGUUGGGCAAAACAGUACAGGGGAGAGCAGGAGUUGUCUUGAGACAAACAUGCAUAACCAUGGAAGGAGAAAGUAAUAGUUUGGAUCCCUGUUGCAGACUGUGAUGACAAGCAACUGCCAGAACUGGUCUGCGGAGCAUGUAAACACUUUUUACGGAUUUCCCAGAAAUACCUGGAAAGAGGAGCCUGGUAAUAAACAGUGCUUCUGCAAUUAAAAAGAAGAAGCUGAGACUACAGUGAUUCGGGCAUUAAAGGGUUAUGUGAA
This is a long non-coding RNA of Camelus dromedarius (Arabian camel), 2350 nucleotides long. RefSeq lists it as uncharacterized. Lineage: Eukaryota; Metazoa; Chordata; Mammalia; Artiodactyla; Camelidae. The transcript has 3 exons. The record is from RefSeq and is a predicted model, not a curated record.